This 292-nucleotide ribosomal RNA is filed under the name uncultured bacterium. RNAcentral describes it as "partial 16S ribosomal RNA". It matches the Rfam family "Bacterial small subunit ribosomal RNA", at positions 505 to 796 of the family's 1533-position model. The record is from RNAcentral.
GUGUCAGCCGCCGCGGUAAUACGUAGGGGGCGAGCGUUGUCCGGAUUUAUUGGGCGUAAAGCGCAUGCAGGCGGUCCUGUAAGUUUGAAGUGACAGUUUCCGGCUCAACCGGGAAAGUGCUUUGAAAACUGCGGGACUUGAGGGCUUCAGAGGGACACGGAAUUCCGGGUGGAGUGGUGAAAUGCGUAGAUAUCCGGAGGAACACCGAAGGCGAAGGCAGUGUCCUGGGGAGUACCUGACGCUCAGAUGCGAAAGCCAGGGGAGCGAACGGGAUUAGAUACCCCGGUAGUCC